Molecule: ribosomal RNA, 214 nt
Filed under: Enterococcus faecalis
Lineage: Bacteria; Bacillati; Bacillota; Bacilli; Lactobacillales; Enterococcaceae
Description: partial 16S ribosomal RNA
Rfam family: Bacterial small subunit ribosomal RNA
Source: RNAcentral
UUAUUAUGAGAGUUUGAUCCUGGCUCAGGACGAACGCUGGCGGCGUGCCUAAUACAUGCAAGUCGAACGCUUCUUUCCUCCCGAGUGCUUGCACUCAAUUGGAAAGAGGAGUGGCGGACGGGUGAGUAACACGUGGGUAACCUACCCAUCAGAGGGGGAUAACACUUGGAAACAGGUGCUAAUACCGCAUAACAGUUUAUGCCGCAUGGCAUAA